UAUAUCCUACAUUUUGAUUGUAAACAAAUCGGCAUUGGAUGCCAAGUCCGCAGAAAAAGUUCGUUCUAAAAAUAACACAAGAAACAAACAGACGUAUGGAAGCCCAGUGGUGUGCAUACAUUAACGUGCAUGAUCAGUUCAGUAAUGACAUUGUUUUAAAGACCAAUGAUUUAAUUUUAUUUUUUUGAAGACUGAAAACCUAACAACAAAAAAACGCGAACAC
This 223-nucleotide long non-coding RNA is filed under the name Mytilus galloprovincialis (Mediterranean mussel). Lineage: Eukaryota; Metazoa; Mollusca; Bivalvia; Mytilida; Mytilidae. The record is from RNAcentral.